RNAcentral lists this ribosomal RNA (536 nucleotides) under uncultured Hypocreales. RNAcentral's name for it is "eukaryotic LSU rRNA". The stretch from base 170 to 323 matches the Rfam family "5.8S ribosomal RNA". The record is from RNAcentral. Lineage: Eukaryota; Fungi; Ascomycota; Sordariomycetes; Hypocreales.
GACCAGCGGAGGGAUCAUUACCGAGUUUACAACUCCCAAACCCCUGUGAACAUACCUAUACGUUGCCUCGGCGGAUCAGCCCGCGCCCCGUAAAACGGGACGGCCCGCCCGAGGACCCCUAAACUCUGUUUUUAGUGGAACUUCUGAGUAAAACAAACAAAUAAAUCAAAACUUUCAACAACGGAUCUCUUGGUUCUGGCAUCGAUGAAGAACGCAGCAAAAUGCGAUAAGUAAUGUGAAUUGCAGAAUUCAGUGAAUCAUCGAAUCUUUGAACGCACAUUGCGCCCGCCAGUAUUCUGGCGGGCAUGCCUGUUCGAGCGUCAUUUCAACCCUCAAGCUCAGCUUGGUGUUGGGACUCGCGGUAACCCGCGUUCCCCAAAUCGAUUGGCGGUCACGUCGAGCUUCCAUAGCGUAGUAAUCAUACACCUCGUUACUGGUAAUCGUCGCGGCCACGCCGUUAAACCCCAACUUCUGAAUGUUGACCUCGGAUCAGGUAGGAAUACCCGCUGAACUUAAGCAUAUCAAUAAGCGGAGGA